UAUUCCCUACCUCACAUUUUAUUUCACUCCAUAUGCCCCUAGCUAGUCCAUAUUUAAGCAUGCUUGAGCCUCGACCUUUCUUCUCCGUGUAAGAUCACCCACACAGAAAGGUUAACAUCUUAGCUGCAUCUGGCUGAGAAAAUUAAUCGAAGAGAAUGAAGUUUGUGGUGAUUACACUAGUGUUGAUGCUGGCAAGCUCUUCUAUGGCUAUAGAUAGGAAGAAAUUCGUGACCAAAUUGGACGAGGGAGAACUGAGUAAUGAAACUGAUGAUAAUGAUCACCAUGAAAUCCCUCGCAAGGAGUAUGGCAAACCAGGAUAUGGCCCACGUACAGUGAGUGAGGAGGGUAAUCACCAUUACAUCCCUCGCAAGGACUAUGGGAAACCUGGCCAAGAAGGAAAAGGAACGUGAUUUGUAGAUGAAGGAUGCAUCUUAUGUCUGUAUAUAUGCACACAAGUCUUAAGUGUUUGAUGAGUAAUAAUGAAUGCUAUAUAGAUAUGUGUGUUGGUAAGAUAUGCAUGCAACGAAUUACUGUGAUUAAUUUAGCAAAUUAUGUUGAGGAUGUACGUGUCCAAUGUCCAUAUCGGUUCGUAAUUAAGAAUGUAUGAGUUGGAACCCUAGGUAAAGCUAUGUUUGUGAUUCUAUAUAUAUAUAUGAUCAUAGCUAGCUAGCUCUGGUGUCGCAAUAGAAUCAUAGUUUAGUUUGUUUAAUGAAUAAAGAAGACUUGGUUUGAUUAAUUGUA
Cajanus cajan (pigeon pea) is the source of this 741-nucleotide long non-coding RNA. RefSeq lists it as uncharacterized. The record is from RefSeq and is a predicted model, not a curated record. NCBI's taxonomy places the organism in Eukaryota, Viridiplantae, Streptophyta, Magnoliopsida, Fabales, Fabaceae.